AUGAACGUUGGCGGCGUGGAUUAGGCAUGCAAGUCGUACGGGUGUAGCAAUACACUAGUGGCGAAAGGGACAGUAAUGUAUAGGUUACCUGCCUUCAGGACGGGGAUAGCGGUGGGAAACUGCCGGUAAUACCCGAUGAUAUCUCCGGAUUAAAGGUGUGAAUCCGCCGGGAGAUGGGCCUAUAUCCUAUUAGCUUGUUGGUGAGGUAAUGGCUCACCAAGGCAUCGAUGGGUAGCGGGUGUGAGAGCACGACCCGGGUCAUUGGGACUGAGACACUGCCCAGACACCUACGGGUGGCUGCAGUCGAGAAUCUUCGGCAAUGGGCGCAAGCCUGACCGAGCGACGCCGCGUGCGGGAUGAAGGCCUUCGGGUUGUAAACCGCUGUUAGUGGGGAGGAAGGCCGUGUGAAGAGCACGGUUUGACCUAUCCACAGAGGAAGUGUGGGCUAAGCUCGU
RNAcentral lists this ribosomal RNA (455 nucleotides) under uncultured bacterium. RNAcentral's name for it is "bacterial SSU rRNA". It matches the Rfam family "Bacterial small subunit ribosomal RNA", at positions 29 to 506 of the family's 1533-position model. The record is from RNAcentral.